This 492-nucleotide ribosomal RNA is filed under the name uncultured bacterium. Its description in RNAcentral is "partial 16S ribosomal RNA". It matches the Rfam family "Bacterial small subunit ribosomal RNA", at positions 29 to 507 of the family's 1533-position model. The record is from RNAcentral.
AGUGAACGCUGGCGGUAGGCCUAACACAUGCAAGUCGAACGGCAGCACAGUAAGAGCUUGCUCUUACGGGUGGCGAGUGGCGGACGGGUGAGGAAUACAUCGGAAUCUACUUUUUCGUGGGGGAUAACGUAGGGAAACUUACGCUAAUACAGCAUACGACCUACGGGUGAAAGCAGGGGAUCUUCGGACCUUGCGCGAUUGAAUGAGCCGAUGUCGGAUUAGCUAGUUGGCGGGGUAAAGGCCCACCAAGGCGACGAUCCGUAGCUGGUCUGAGAGGAUGAUCAGCCACACUGGAACUUAGACACGGUCCAGACUCCUAAGGGAGGAAGCAGUGGGGAAUAUUAGACAAUGGGCGCAAGCCUGAUCCAGCCAUACCGCGUGGGUGAAGAAGGCCUUCGGGUUGUAAAGCCCUUUUGUUGGGAAAGAAAAGCAGCAGGUUAAUACCCCGCUGUUCUGACGGUACCCAAAGAAUAAGCACCGGCUAACUUCGUG